RNAcentral lists this long non-coding RNA (481 nucleotides) under Manihot esculenta (cassava). Its description in RNAcentral is "long non-coding RNA (MESC_LNC004856)". Lineage: Eukaryota; Viridiplantae; Streptophyta; Magnoliopsida; Malpighiales; Euphorbiaceae. The record is from RNAcentral.
CAACUGUGCCAGGGACGUAGAAUGGGUACAACCUGGACUUCCUCUUACAUCGUGCCAGGGACGUAGAAUGGGUACAACCUGGACUUCCAUACCACAUCAUGCCAUAACAUCAUCAUAUCAUAUGAGGACUAAAGGAUCAUCCAAUAACCAAUCCACAUCAACAUCAACAUCAUAAAUGCAAUGCAACAUAUUCGUGAAUACUAAUGCAAACAACCUACUAUAUCUCAUGGCAUUCAUGAUGCAUUGAUCAUGCUCAAAAUUCAUAUUUCAUUUAUUUUAAAACUUAAGGUUUAUUCCACUCACCUCUGGCUAGCUCUGACAAACUCUGUAGCAGCUGGCUCACUACUGGGGUCCUUGGUUCCUCGGGUCCGAACCUACACAGGUGGACUCCAAUGAGGGACCAAACAUACAUAAACAUAACUCUAACAUACUCCCCAAAAACCCCCUAAAACAUCAUGAAAACAUCACAUAAAAACAUGCA